This 1467-nucleotide long non-coding RNA is filed under the name Vigna radiata. RNAcentral's name for it is "long non-coding RNA (VRAD_LNC014443)". Lineage: Eukaryota; Viridiplantae; Streptophyta; Magnoliopsida; Fabales; Fabaceae. The record is from RNAcentral.
GGCAGCAGUCAUAAUGGCGUUUUCUAACAAGGUUGGAAAUGUCUUGAGGCAGGGUGCUGCUCGCAGCACACAAGCACCUGUUGCAUCCAUGCUUAAUUAUAUUCGCUGCAUGUCUUCAAGCAAGCUUUUCAUUGGAGGUAUUGACAUUUGUUGCAAUGAUUGUGAUGGAUACAAACAACGUAUGUUGAUGCUAAUUUUAUGUUUUUUUUGGUUUGGUGUUUUGAUAAUUUAGGCCUUUCGUACGGAGUUGAUGACCAGUCUCUUAAGGAUGCAUUUGCUAGUUUUGGAGACGUGGUUGAGGGUGAGUUCAGCUUCUUUCGUUAUUGUUAUCUUGUGGUCCCAUUUAGCAAUGGAGUCACCUGUUAGUAUGGGUUUACUAUAUGUUGUCUAGCUGUAGUCGGUUUCAUUAUAACAUGCAUAGUCCUUAUUAGCAGCCAGUAUAGCACAAUAGCAUUGCUGAAGUCCUCUCCAAUCUGCUAUCCUGACUCCAUUGGCAGCAGUAGAGUUUCAGCCUUCUGCCAUUUUUGCUAUCUUUUAUUGACAAUUGAUGCACCGUUAGAUUUUUAUUUGCAGCUGAGUAUGUUGCAGAAUGCCAUUGUGUCUGGGCAUAUCACCUGUGUACUUAAAGCUGCAUAGCAUUUGUAUUUUAAUUGUAAAAAUGGCUACGACAAUAUUUUGGUGCCGGUGUGUAUUCAAGAGAAAAUUUACUGGUUUGGUUAUUUGUGAAAUUGAAAUAAAAUAUUAGAAAAGUUAACCGGUCAGAUUUCUUGCCAGCACUAAAACAAUGUCAGCCUUAUCAUAUUUUUGGUUCUGGCUUACCUAUACUUGCUGGUUCUGUUUCACAGCAAGGGUUAUAACUGAUAGAGACACCGGAAGAUCAAGGGGAUUUGGAUUUGUCAACUUCUCCAGUGAUGAGUCUGCAAGUACAGCACUGUCUGCAAUGGACGGGCAGGUAAGAAUGCUCUUCUGUUUAUAUUUAGCUUUGUUGUCAUAGUCGUUGUUAGUUGACUGACUUGCUAUGGUGGCUUUUUAGGAUCUAAAUGGGCGAAACAUUAGGGUAUCUUAUGCAACUGAUAGAUCUUCUGGACCACGACCUGGUGGUGGUGGUGGUGGUUAUGCACCUCGCAAUGGCGGCGGUGGUGGUUGGUGAUCCAAUAUUUUCUAAAUUUUCUGGUGCUUGUGCUUAGUUUUGAGAUUUAAUGUUUAUGCCUAAAACUUCGAUUAAGGUAAAUUAGUAGCUAGGGGAAUGCCGUGUUUUCUUCGGUAACAUUUCUUGGUUACGUUAUUCUAACGACUUUUAUGGGAUGUGUGUUGGUUGGAUUUCUGAUUAGUUUUCAAUUAUGGGUUCAUUUAUUUGGGCCUCAAAAAUCACCGAGCCCACCCGAGGGCAUUAAAAUUCUAAUAUUGAUCUUCCGGAGCGUUACUGUCCAAUUAUUAUUAUUUGUGUGGUAGCGUAUCAAUAGAUGC